This 253-nucleotide ribosomal RNA is filed under the name uncultured bacterium. RNAcentral's name for it is "partial 16S ribosomal RNA". It matches the Rfam family "Bacterial small subunit ribosomal RNA", at positions 524 to 776 of the family's 1533-position model. The record is from RNAcentral.
UACGUAGGGGGCUAGCGUUGUCCGGAAUCAUUGGGCGUAAAGAGCGUGUAGGCGGCCAUGUAGGUCCGUUGUGAAAACUCGAGGCUCAACCUCGAGACGCCGAUGGAAACCAUGUGGCUAGAGUCCGGAAGAGGAGAGUGGAAUUCCUGGUGUAGCGGUGAAAUGCGUAGAUAUCUGGAGGAACACCGGUGGCGAAGGCGGCGUUCUGGACUGCAACUGACACUGAGAAACGAAAGCCAGGGGAGCAAACGGG